This 18557-nucleotide long non-coding RNA is filed under the name Homo sapiens (human). RNAcentral's name for it is "non-protein coding lnc-MON2-2:8". The stretch from base 1160 to 1246 matches the Rfam family "let-7 microRNA precursor family". The record is from RNAcentral. Lineage: Eukaryota; Metazoa; Chordata; Mammalia; Primates; Hominidae.
ACAACGUGUCCGCUUAGGCGGCGAUAUGCGCCGCCAUCUUCUUUGCGGGCAAAGGCCGAAAAAAGUUUGGGACUCCACUCCCCCCCGCUGAGCCGAUGGAGGGCAUCGCCCGCUGCCUCAGCACUCUGGUGACGUGGAAUCGGGGUCCCCUCUUUCAGGGCUGAUUUCUGGUAGCACGCUGACGCCUGCCAAGGCAGGGAAAGGGGACGCCGCCUCUGUCCCGGAUGUAAGAUGGCGGCGCGGGGGGCGGCCUGGCGGGGCGGUCACGUGGUGAGGAGUAGCGCGCGAGCCUCCUUAAGUGAUCUCUAAGGUUCGUCCGGACGCACAGGAGCAGCGGAGCGCGAGACGGGUCUUGUGUCCGCACGCGUCGAGUCGUCGCAGUCGCCACCCGGGCCAUCGCCGGGCCCGGUUUCACUGUUAAGGGGUUUUCGUUUGUUCCGUUUUCGCCUCCUGUAGAGCUGAACGGGAAUUCCCCGAAGGGUGCUGGGGAACGGGUGGCCUGGGGACUUCCCGGCUAUGCCUUGGCUGCUGUUUGGCGGAGCCGGCGGCAGCCUCUGCGGGAUGCCCGCCGGCGAUUAUCGGCGCCGAGAGCGGGCCGGCGGCGGGUUCGACAGCGCGGCGCGGGUGGGGGCCCGGGUACCGGACUCGGCCGCAGCCCAGCCCCCACCGGGGACUCGGAGCAGGGAGGGGCGCGAGCGGCGCAGCUCGGGACGUGGCGGCAGCUCCUAGCGGGCGAAGCGCGGGAGCGCUGCUCGCUGCCUCUCGGGGGCAGUCCAGAACCAGUUGGUGUCUGACUGCGCUUUUGCCGCCCAUUUCCUGCUUUCGAGCGGCUGAGGCGACGCGCUCCCCUCGGGCAGUGGAGGGAGCGGCUCUCUCCGCAGGACACCGCCGCUUUUCUCUCUUCAGAGCGGUGGCUGACGUACAGAACGCCGGCUGUAUCACCCGGGCGCCGGCGCCGCCUCUCAUCCCCGUAGCUCUCGGGGCGCGCCGGGAGUAGCCGAGCCGCUGGGUGCUGGGCGGGGUCUCCGGGCGCGGCGCGGGGGGAAGGCAAAGGAAAAGAAGGGGCGGCGGGCCGACGUCGGCGGCGAGGAAGGACGGAGGAGCGCCGGAGCCGCUUUGCUGCCCUCCGCGUGGUCCCGUGCCUCCCCGACACCAUGGCCCUGGCUGAGGUAGUAGUUUGUGCUGUUGGUCGGGUUGUGACAUUGCCCGCUGUGGAGAUAACUGCGCAAGCUACUGCCUUGCUAGUGCUGGUGAUGCUCAGCGCCGCGGAGGACAAUGGCUGGGAAUCCCCUUUGUUUUCCGGGGCGCUGCCUGGGGACAGCCCGCGAAGCCUCGGCGCCCGGCCGGCGCGGCCACCACGGAAACCGUUAGUUUCACAUUUUCCUAGAAGGAAUUGAGGGGAGUGGGGUGGACCGCGAUGCAUUUUAAAGGUUGGGAAAGAGCUAAGCCAUUGGAUUCCUUUUCUUGAAGGAAGGAGUGGAAUUGUGUAAGAUAAUUGAUACAGAUAACUUUUUCACCCUAAAAAAUUCUAACACUUCUUUCAGCAGUUAAAUGCCAAAUUUAGUGUGUACCUGUUUUACUUCAUUCUUUAGCUGUAGGUUGGAGUGGUGUGAGCGAUCUGCAGAACUGGCAUUAGAGGGGCAGAAGAAGUAGACCUGAUAAUUAAAGUUUAUGCCUUAACAUUUUAGAUCUGGUUUCUGAUAUGCUCUCUUAGUAAAUCUGAGUGUGUCUUUAAAAACGUAAACCCAAAGCAAUUUAAAGUUUCUCUUUAAACUUUGCAACUCGCGAAUGAGAAGAUUGAAAUUAUUUGUAGGUAAUUGCACUAUUCCGAUUUUUUAAUGUAUGAGGCAAACAAAUAAAUUCUAUGUACAGUGUGCUGUGAAUGGUUUUGUUUUUUGUUUUUUCUUUUUAGUUUAACCUUGGGGCUCAGAUUCUGCUGGUGUGGUGGGUUGGUUUUUUGGUUUUUAUGGCCUUUGAUUCUAAUGUUAUGUGGUACUUACAUCUUUGAGGUUUUGUAUGGGAGAAGAGGACUAGGAAUUGAAAGUGGUUUCUAGAUUUGAGUUUAAAAUCUACUAACACUCAUUUUGAUUCCUGAGUGGCCACUACUCCUAAUAGGAAAAUACCUUUGCAUAGAGAAAAAAGGUAGUUUGGAUAACUAAUGAAAAUACUCAGUGCUCUAAUACCCUGAAGUCUGCGUGGAAAACAAGAUACUUGUAUUUUUAUUUUAUUUUCACUGAGGGAAGUAAGUGGUCAGUUUUAGUACUUUUCGUUGAAAACUGAUCUGUAUUUGUACAGAAUAAGUAGUUUUGAAUAUAAUGUAAUCGCAGUUUUCUAUGGUUUUCUGAUGCUCAGUUGAAAAACAAAUAAGGCAGUUCUUUAAACCAACCAAACCCUUCAGCAGGAGUUUGAUGCUUUUAUCAUUCAAAAGUGAUCUAAUAUAUGUGCCUUGAUUGGGUUUGGUUUAGCCUUGAGAAUAACCUUACUUAAUCUGAUCUCAUCAGGAUGGAGCCGCCUCAUUGUGGGAAGGGCGGUGAAGAACCUUAUCUUGAAUCUUAAGAUGCAGAAAAUGCUUGAAUGUUGGCUCUUGAAGUUUGCUUUUCUUGAUAGCAACGCAGAGUAAAUUCAGGGCUUUGUUAAGUGCUUGUUUUCUUAAAUAAUGAAAACCUCUGCGGUGCUGUGUCAAAUCUUGGUUUAUGGAGAAACUAAUCAUAACAUGCUAAUUUCAUUAUGAUUUUAUUUUCCAAAACACUUCAUUCAACCAACCGAGGUAAUCUUCCAACCCACUACACUCUAACAUUUUUAUGGAGAAUCAACGGUUGUUAAUCUGCACCCCAAAGUAUAACAAAUUCUGCUGGUAAUUUAAACUUUAAGCGGAUAAGCACACCAGAAAUGCUCAAUGUCCUAUACAGAUAAACUAUUCAUACUUUAUAUCUUGUGUUUUUAAAGUAAAUUUUAUCCACAACUACAUAUUGCCCAAAUAGUAGUAACAUUUUUGAGUUAUUGGAUGUAAAGGUACUUUGAGAGGUUAACUGUUUCCUAAGUUACAAGAGAAAAUACUGCCACCAGCUGACUUGUUUUAAUCCCAUAGCUAUAUUUCUGCUCUAAUCUCCAGUUUUAAAAAUGAUCUGCUAAUUACAUUUCUCUACACACCAACUGAAAAUUACCAACUGAACAUUUUCCUUGUUGACAGUUUCCCACAAGAUGAAUUUGAUUUAUCAAAAAUACAGCUUUCUGAACUUAGUAUUAUUGACAUUUACUUGGUGCAGUUAACUUUUUUGUUAAAGGUCUGUUGUCAAGCAUUUAAGUAAUUUGUAGUUGUAAAAAGCCACUGGUGGAAAGUAAUAAGGCAGUAUUUUGAGUGCCCUUCUCAAUAAGUACAUACUAAACCAAAGGAAAGCUGGGUUAUGGUAAUAACAUUUUAAUAAAUGUCAUCCUCAAUUGGAAAUGGAGACUGUGUUAUGGUAUAUAGGACACACCAUAUGGAGAAGAUUCUUGGAGAACACAGUUUUGCUUCAUACUUUAAAAUUCCUGAUUGCUAAUCUUACAUAGAAAAGCUUUGUUUACAAGCUAUUUUAAAAUAACCUUUUGGCAGGUAGGCAAGACUGACUGGCAAGGGUGCACUCAAGACAUUGUGUCUUGUGGAGUGGUCCCCAAAGAAUUCCUGACAGAGGCACCUGACAGCACAAAUUAGCUCUUCAGUGUAUAAGCACAAAGCACCAAAAAGGCUGAGAUUUCUUCCUAGCUACAUGCUCUCUCCCGCUAUUGUUUAUUACACUCCACCCGCUCCAUGGUGAAGCUGACAAAGGAGAUACUAUUAAUUUCCUUUCCCACUGAAUAAUCCCCUCUGUAAUUUCUACAACAAAAGGUAAAUAGGACAAUCAUCUUCGAAAAUGAAUUAGGCCAGAUUGGUAGUACCCAAAAGGAGAAUUAAUGACCAUUGUCAUAAACUCUGAAAAGCUGUUGGCGCUACUGAUAAUCUAGAUAAUUAAGCAAAAAUUUGAAAAUUAUUUCUAAGAUUGUCUAAUGAAGUUCACUAAGUGUUUUUGUUAGGUUAUCACUAUUGGGCACCAUGGGGAAAGCAAAAUAAUUGUAUAGCUAGGUCAUUGCCCCAAAGGAAAACAGGAAAGAUGUCACAUGAAGUGUUUAAGAAUCAAAAUGUAAUUAGCUGAGUGUGGUGGUGCCUGCCUGUAGUCCCCGCUGAGGUGGGAGGAUCUCAUGAGCCCAGGACUUUGAGGCUGCAGUGAGCCAUGAUUGCACCACUGCAGCCUGGGCAACAGAGUGAGACUGUCAAAAAAAAAAAAAAAUCAAUGUGAGCUCAGUGCAGUGAUGUGCACCUAUAAUCCCAGGUACUCUGGAGGCUGAGGCAGGAGAGUCACUGGAGCCCAGUAGUUUGAGACCUGCCUGGACAAAAUAGUUGAGAUUCUGUCUCAAGAAAUUAAAUAAAUAAUCAAAAUGUGGGCAGGUGAGAAAAACAUUAGUGACCUACUUCACUUUUGAGACCUGGCAGAAAAGUGAUUGAAUGAGCUAAGGGGGAAGGGAAGUAUGGAACACUUCAAAUAGUAUAGUAAUUUAGGGAGUUCUUUUGGUUAGGUUUGUUGCCUGAGAUCUUGGAGAUGACAAUCGCAGUGAUAAUGAUACUCUAGGUGAUUUACAGUUUAGUUUCAUAUUAUCUGCUACAAAUACGCUGGGAGUGUCAUCAGAAUUAAAAGAAAUAUUAGCAGUUCUACAUGGAAUUUAUGUGUUUUCUUAUCUCAAGUUGAAAAUUUUUUUUUUGGUUAAAUUUGUUUUACAUUUACCUUUCUUUAAAAGUGCUGUUUUGUUCAGAUGUAAUGGAAUUGUGCCUACACAGGAUUUUUGGCCACUAAAUUUGUGAAUAGGGUCCUUUAAAGGCAUACUAUUGACACCCGAUAGUGUAACUUUAGUCUUUUAGUUAUAUCAAAUAUGAACAAACCUAAGACACAAUCUUGUGUUUUUAAGGAUAAGUUCCUAGUUCUUUCCUCUUAUUCAACAUCAAACAACACUUACAGAAAAUAUUAUUUUCUUCGAAUCAGGUUUACAAAUUCCGUUAGUUCCAUUAUAAUAUAAUUGAGAGUAUUUUAUCAUGGAAGUCAGGAGUUCGCAGAAAGCCAAGCUGUGUGAUAUGUCACAGAAAAUUCAAGUAAAUUAAGGACUAAAAACUGUCCACAGACAUUGACAGUUUAGAUCAUAUAUGUAGUUGUAAUGUGUUUUCUGUUAUACCUGAAAAAUCCCUUAACUGCUCUUAGGUUGAGUAAUAAACAAUUAACGGGUGUUUUAUCUCACUUUGAACAUAACUACCAAAAAGGUAUUAAGAUUCAGAGAUUGCUGUUUUAAUAUUCUGCACAUAGUGUAUUUUAAAGCCCUUGUUAAACAGAAGUAUUAUGUAGAUACAGGCAUGGGCUAGUUUUAGUCAUAAUAGUAACACUGACUUAAUGUUACCGUAAUAGAUGGCCGAAAGAGUUGACUAAACUCUAAAAACAGAUACAUAAGCAAAUUAAAGUAUAUUUUUCUGUUUUAAAAACAAAUUUACAUACUUUUUAAGAGUUCGGACGAAAAACCUAAGAAUAAGAAUCCUAUCUGCCAUUCAUUUCUUUUUGUAGUGAAUGAAGCUUAUACAGAAUAAAUAAGUUCCAGAUAAAUUCAACAGGUGAAUCGGAUACCUGCUCUAUGUCAGGUGCUGGGAAUAUACAGAAGAUAAAACAAAAACAAACACAAAAAAACCAACUCCACAUUAUGGAAUUCACAUUGUAAAAGGAAUACAUUUCCCUAUAAUAAUAAUUACAGACAUGUAGUGAGGACAAUCCAUGGGCCACCUGAGUUGUUUUCAAACCUGAGUUCCACUCAUACACCUGUUCUAGAGCCCUUGCUCCAAAACCACUAUUGAUAUUCCAGUUGUAUGUUUUAAAAAAGCCAUUUCCCAUUGAUUUUUGUUAUAAUUGUACCUAUUUUUUUUAAAAAAAGAUGAUAAUUUAGUUUCACCAGGGCUGUUUUCUUUCUUUCUUUUUUUUUUUUUGAGACGGAAUCUUGCUCUUGUUGCCCAGGCUGGAGUACAAUGGCACGAUCUCGGCUCACUGCAACCUCCACCUCCCAGGUUCAAGCAAUUCUCCUGCCUCAGCCUCCUAAGUAGCUGGGAUUACAGGCGCCCGCCACCACGCCCAGCUAAUGUUUGUAUUUUUAGUAGAGAUGAGGUUUCACCGUGUUGGCCAGGCUGGUCUCGAACUGCUGACCUCAUGAUCCGCCCACCUUGGCCUCCCAAAGUGCUGGUAUUACAGGCAAGAGCCACCGCGCCUGGUCAGCCAGGGCUGUUUUCUAUCUCCUAAACAGGAUAACACUGCAGGAGGUACUUCACCUUUAAGAGCUUACAAUGUUGUAGCAAGUGCCCAACUACCUUGUGGAGGAAUCUAGACCCCAUAGCCAGACAUCACAUUUUAUGAUGUACACUCUAAACAUGGUAAAAGUUCAAAGAAGCAGGAGUGCACUGUGAGUAGGUAGAGAAUGCAUCUCUCUGGAGCAGAAACGUCAGAUUAUUUUAACAGUAUAAGCUAUGGAGAGCGAUUAUGAGCCUUGUGGUGCCUGAGAACAGGAAAGAAAGAAGUAUCCUACCUUCCUUAUAUAAUUUAUACCUCGGGGUAACUAAAUGGUUGUGAGGGAGAUUUCCUCAUUACAGAAUAAUUCCAGUUUCACAGUGCAGAACGUCUGAUAGAAUGUUAACAUUUACAACAGCUCAUGAAAUAAAGCUAGACCUCUUCAAUGGCUAACUUAAUGGUUGAAACCAUUAAGUAAAAUGCUGAUGGAGAAGUAUGUGAUUAAUGAAUCAGUAGUAGAGAAGUAUUUAAUUCAUGGAUCAGGGCAACCGCACUUCAACUCACUGAUCAAUUUUAAUAUUACAAAAACAGAUAACUAGAUAUUCUAGUUCAAAUAAUUGAACUAGAUAGUGGUUUACUAAGACUCUAGACUCUCAUCAAGUUUCUAGAUCUGAUGAGUAGUUUAUUAGAAAUUUAAGAUAUAGGGGAACAUUGUUAAAUCACCACAGGAGCACAAGUAGCAAAAAUCCACACUGAAAUUCUAUAAGACAAAUGAUCUAAGGAAAAAAAAUUUUUAAGGAAAGAAGGGCAGGAAAACCUGUAGAGUAAAAUGAAUUUAAAGAUAUUUAUCGGUUUAAUUGCAAUGUAUAGACCUUGUUUGGAUCCUAAUUUGAUCAAAGCUAACCACAAACACAUUUAUGAGACAAUUGGAGAAAUUUUAAAACUGACUGAAUAUUAGAAGUUAAAGAAUUGUUUUUGAAAAUGGUAUUGUGGUUAUAGUUUUUAAAAAUCUUUUGGUAUAUGCAUACUAAAUAAUUUACUAAUGAAUGAUAUGAUCGGACUUUGCUUCAUACUUUAAUCCAUGGGGGAUGGGAAGCAUAUAUGGGAGUACACAGGAAAGAAGCUUGUCUUAGUGUUGGUAUUGAUGAUGGGUGAUGGGUAGAUGGGUUUUUUUAUUCUGUUCUACUUUUGUGUAUAUUUAGAAUGUUCCAUAAUAAAAACUCAAAAACACGUAAAACAAGACAAAGAAAGAUUCCUGUGGUUUGGAGACAACCAAAGCAAAGUGAGAACACAUACAAAACCAUGUGAAGGUCAGUAAGGUGCAGCUAAGUGUUCUUAGGGUAUCCUCCCAGGCCACUUUGAAAUACUACCUUGAAGUCUAUCAGAGGAUCAGUCCAUUUUCCUUAUACUCCAGAUCAAAUAUAUUGACUAAUAUAGUGCAAGUUCACACAUACCCACAACAAGGAUACCAUUGUUUAAAUAUAUCUAUUAUAAUUAAAACUAGUAAUUAGAAUUAAUAAGAGAUGUGUUGAGAACUUUUACUAAGUACUUUGUAUGUAUAAAGUACUUGCUUUAAUGUUAGCCUAUUAAACUUAAUAACUUUCCAUUUUAAAUAUUAUUUUUCUAGUUCCAUAGUCUUUUUCUAGAAGUAUGCCUUAUUUCACAUUCUUAAACAAGUACUCUAAGCAAAAUCAGCUCACUAAAAAAAUUUGUUUGGCUUUAACUGCUUUCAAUAAGCUUAGUUCUGUUUUUCCUCUUUUAUUUUGUUAUUCCUCCUGUCUAACUGAAACUUUGUACCCUUUAGCCAACAUCUCCCCAGUACCUUACCCCCUCUGUCUAUAAGCCCCUGGUAACACUAUUCUCUCCUUUCUGCUUCUCUGAGUUUGACUUUUUUAUAUUCCACAUAUAAAUGAGAUCAUGUAGUAUUUGUCUUUCUAUGCCUGGCUUAUUUAGUGUAAUGUCCUCCAAGUUUAAACAUGUCGUUGCAAAUGAUAGAAUGUUUGUCCUUUUAAAUGGAACUCUAAUAAUUGUUCUAGCAAUUUAUUCGAUUUUUUGUUUCCAGUUAGAUUCCUUUUUUCUUAACCUUCUUUGUGUGUGUGUGUGUGUGUGUGUGUGUGUGUGUGUGUGUUUAGACAGGGUCUCACUGUCAUCCAGGCUGGAGUGCAGUGGCGUGGUCACAGCUCACUGCAACCUUCAACUCCCAGGCUCAAGCGAUCUUUCCACCUCAGCCUCCUGAGUAGCUAAGACUACAGGCACACGCCACCACCCCUGGCUAAUUUUUGUAUUUUUUGUAGAGACAGGGUUUUGCCAUGUUGCCCAGGCUGGUCUCAAAACUACAGGGCUCAAUUGAUCGCCCACCUCCGUCUCCCAAAGUGCUGGGAUUAUAGGUGUGAGCCACCGCGCCCAGCCCCCAUCAAUAUAUGUUAACACUUAGCAGUUAGUUCAUUGUGCAUCUACAUAUUACCAGUGUUAUUAAUCUAAUUUAAAUAUUUAACUGAGUGCUGUUACUGCUUUGAAUAUAUUAGCACACUACAAAGGUAAAAAAAUAUAACCAACCUGUGGAUCAAAAGAAACAAUGAUUUUGCAUUUUACUAAGCACAGAAAUUAUCAUGUUUUUGAAUGUGUACCACAAAUGCCAGGCAUACACACACAUAUAUAAAUAAGGUUGAAGGAGGCCGGGCGCGGUGGCUCACGCCUGUAAUCCCAGCACUUUGAGAGGCCGAGGCAGGUGGAUUACUUGAGGUCAGGAAUUCGAGAGCAGCCUGGCCAACAUGGUGAAACCUGGUCUCUACUAAAAAUACAAAAAAUUAGCCGGGCAUGAUGGUGCAUGCCUGUAGUCCCAGCUACUGGGGAGGCUGAGGCAGGAGAAUCGCUUAAACCCCAGAGGUGGAGGUUGCAGUGAGCUGAGAUCGUGCCACUGCACUUCAGCCUGGGUGACAGAGUGAGACUCUAUCUAAAAUAUAUAUAUAUAUAAGGUUGAAGGAAUAAACACAUUGAAGCAUUAUUACAAAUAUAAGAUACUUUUUUUUCUUUUCUUGUUUAAAAAUAAAUAGAGGCAGGGUCUCACUUUGUUGCCCACGCUGGUCUUGAGCUCCUGGGCUCAAGUGAUCCUCCUGCCUCAGCCUCCUAAAGUGCUAGGAUUACAGGCGUUAGCCACCACACUUGGCCAAGAGAGUUCUUUCAAAUUUACCAAUAUUAUCACUAUUAAAUAGCUUUUAUUUUGAAGUAUAUAUCCUAGUGACUUUUUAACUUCAUAUAUCUUAUCCUGUAUAUACGUAGUGAAUCACUAUCUGGACUCAUUAGUUAGACGUUGAACUUAGCCGUGACCUUAUCUACUACAUACAUGGGCAUUUUCUGUUGUUAUUAACCCUGGGACUUAAGUUGCCUUAGAAAUAUUAAUGAUAAUUGCUAUAUGUAUAGAUGUUACCACUAAUAUCUUUAGUAUUCUCUGCUGACUAUCCAUGAACCCUGUGGAGUUUAUUAUGCUGGAAGUCACAGUGUAUUCCUUAAACCCUUCUGAUUCUGCCUUAUGGCCUCCUCCCUUGUUGAGUAUCUUCUUAAAAGGAAUCAGAAACCACUCUUCCCACAUUCUCCAAUAGUCAAGUCACACCAUGAACACGGUUCCAAGAAGCGGAAAGGUCCUCUACCACUUCAAGGAAAUUAGGAAGAAAAAAAAAGAGAGAAAAACAACGUGUUGUUCCAGAAGGUAGUAUGCAAGUUCUCAAAUGACCUCUAGGCAUUUUGGUUCAAGGUCCAUCUUUUUCCUUUAUCAUGUCACUCUUCUUUUUUCCUAUUAAAGAAUAAUUUUUAUAUCUUUUUAUGUGACUGGUAAAAAUAAUAUUCCCCUUCUCCAAAAGUCAUGGUCAGUUAGCUAUAUAAAGGUAGUUGGUAAUGAAACUUCAUGUUCUUGUGGUUUUUAAAAUACAGAGUCUCACUCUGUUGCCAAGGCUGGAGUGCAGUAGCAUGAUCAUGGCUCACUGCAGCCUCGACUUCCUGGGCUCAAGUGAUCCUCCUGCCUCAGAGCCUUGAAUAACUGGGACUACAGGUGCACAUCACCACAUCCAACUAAUUUUUAAAAUUUUUUGUGGAGACAGAGUCUCACUCUGUUGCCCGGGCUGGUCUUGAACUCCUGAGCUCAAGUGAUUCUCCCAUCUCAGCCUCCCAAAGUGCUGGGAUUACAGAUGUGAGCCACCAUGCCCAGCCUUGUUUUUUUUGUUUUUUGUUUUUUGUUUUUAAUGUAAGAAAAGGUAAGAAAAAUAUGGUGGUGGUCUUACAGGUACAUAUGUGGUUUAUGCACUGUGAAGCUGUUGAAAGGAGUGGAUGAUGAUGAAAUGCAUGCAGUUGAGCUAGGCUCAGUGGAAAGUCAUGUUGGGGAACAGAUGGAGUUUUGAAGUGCUAAGAGAAUGAUUUAAUGAAACUGGGGUCAUAAAAUUGCUAGAAAGAAUGUAGGCUGAUUUCUUCCAGAAUUUAAAGGCUCUGGGAAUAGGAAGCCAGAAGAGUAAGAACAGAAACAGAUCAGCUUGAACACCAGAGUUGCGCCUUUGGAUGAACUCUGGGGAAAGGGUAUGUUUUCAGAGAAAAAUAAAAAAGGAUCUGGGAUCAUUUACUCUAUCAUUUGUUUAACAAUUAUUAGUGUGUGUGUGUGUGUAUGUGUGUGUAUAUAUAUAUAUUUUUUGAGAUGGAGUCUAGCUCUAUUGCCCAGGCUAGAGUGCAAUGGUGCGAACUCGGCUCACUGCAACCUCUCUCUCCCUCCUAGGUUCAAGAGAUUCUCCUGCCUCAGCCUCCCAAGUAAUUGGAAUUACAGGCCCAUGCCACCCCACCCGGCCAAUUUUUUUUGUAUUUUUAGUAGAGAUGGGGUUUUGCCAUGUUGGCCAGGCUGGUCUCAAACUCCUGACCUCAAGUGAUCCGCCAGCCUCGGCCUCCCAAAGUGCUGGGAUUACAGGCACGAGCCACCAUGCCGGACCUAUUAGUGUAUUUACUGGAUAUCAAGAUGACUAAGAAAUAGCACUUGCCUUGAAGGAGCUUUUCUAUUUGAGGAAAAAGACAUGUAUAUAAAUAACUGCAAACAGAAUGAAACAAGUGUUAUGUAGAUCUACAUACAGUGACAUGCCAUGGGAAUGCUGAACACUGAGCAACAGUUUCAACUAGCGAAUUGGCACAGGAAACAUGAAAAAUAAGCGUAUUUUCAAUAUGACAAGAAUGGUCAUUUCUGGAUAUAAGAACAAGAGAAAAGUCAUGGGUAUAUGGAAAGGCAUGGACUCUUCAAGGAAGAGCAAGUAGUCUAAUGUAGAUGCUGUAUAGGAAUCUGGGGACAAAGGGACAGAUAAGUGGUGUAGACAAAGAGGCUGGAAAUAGGGUUAUGGGCUAGAUCAUGAGUGACCUGUAAGCAUUAGGAGUUUUGAUUUAUUUUGGAAUAAGAAACAUUUAUGGCUUUUGAGAAGGAAAAUUACACAAGGGAAAAGAAAGGAUUUUUAUUUUUUAUUUUUAUUUUUGGAGAGAUGAGAUCUCACUAUGUUGCCCAGGCUGGUCUUGAACUCCUGAACUCAAGCAAUCCUCCCGGCUCGGCCUCUGAAACUUCUAGGAUUAUAGGCGUGAGCCACUACGCCCAGCCAGGAUUAUGUUUUUUUAUGGGAGGGAUGAGAAUAUUGGUAGGUGGGUAGAGGAUAAAUGAGAGAGAAUAUGUAUAUGUGAGAUUGAAUAUAUAAUAGAAAAAAUUGAUAGGACAAGUCCUGCGUUAUUACUACAUUUUAUGAGGAAAAUCUAUAUAUUAGAAGCACUUUAAAGGUAUAUUUGCUAUUCUAGCUGUGGAAACCAUCUGAAAACACAUUUGAAAGUGCUUUGAAACAGGGGUCAACUUCUCUGCAAAGGGCCAGAGUAUGUUUAGCUUUGCGGGCCACAGAUGGCCUCUGUUGCAUAUGCUGCUGGGUCUCCACCUUCCUCCUCCUUUUCUUCCCUUCCUCUUCCUUCUUUUUCUUCUUCUCUUUCUUCUUUCUCUUUAAAAGCAUAAAAUCAUUCUCAGCUCUUGGGCCAUACAGAAACAGGCCAUAGGCCAGAUUUGACUUCUAGGCCAUAGUUUGCCGACCCUCCAUUUUAGAACUUAGCUUUCCUGAAAGAGCAUUUGGGUCUCUCUCUCUCUUUCCCUUUCUCUCUCUCUGUCUCUCUCUCUCUCUCUUUCAGUAAGUGAAGUAAGAAAUAGGUCUUUCUUGAGGAACAAAAAGCUGAAAUAAUUUCAUGCAUUUGAAUAUGACCCUUGACCUGUUUUUGUCCAUCAUCACUCAGAUUUGUGGCUGCAACCACCAACCAAUUUGGUGCCAUAGGAUAUAGCAUAAUUUUUCAGCAACAGUUCAUAAGCUUUUCUUUUUGUUCUUUUUCCUUCUUCCAGUUGUGGUGGUUUAAAAACAUGUCUGCAAAAUCUUUGACACUUCUCAGUAAAAAAUAUAGUCUUGUGUUCCCUUUUCUUGAACCUAAGUGGCCUUUGUGCUGCCUCAACAAAUAGAAUAUGACAGAAAAGACACUAUGUGACUUUUGAGACAGGGUCAUAAGAGGUGAUACAGCUUCCCCAUGCCCCUGCAUUUUAGAGCUCUGGGUUGCCAUGUAAGAAUAGCUACCCUGAAGCUACCAUGCUGAAGAGACCACAGGGAAAUCACAUAGAGUUAGAAAGAGGUGUCUGAAGAAGCCCAGCUGCUCCCAAUCCCAGCUAUUUAAGUCCUCCCAGACCAGGUGCCAUAUAUAUGAGUGAGCAAGCCUUCAGAUGGUUCCAGCACCAGCCACCAUCUAGCUGUAAGCUCAUGAGACCCCUUCAACGAAAACCAUCUAGAUUAGCUUAGUCAAGCCCCAGAACCGUGAAAGACAAUAGACUUGCUAUGGAGGUCGCCACAUGCCUCUUUUUUCUCCCUUUGUGAAUGGGAUUAUUUAUAAUGGUUACCCCAUACCUACUCCACUAUGUAUAUUGGGUAUGAGGGAGAGAUAAUUUGUCUCACUAGCUGACAGAUUUUUCAGACCUCAAGGAAUGCCACGUGAGCUGUACUCACAGGACCACACACAAGUAUCUUUAUCCACACGUGACCUGAUUUCACUGAUAAAGUCCUGGACCUUGAGCCUGAGCCCAAUGUCUUAAUAAAUGAGAAUUUCAGAAGGUCUUGGGAGGGGGUGAGUAUAUUUUGCAUGUGGGAAGGAUGUAAAUAAUAUGUGGCCUGAGAGCAGAUUAUGGUGGUUUGAAAAUGUGUCCACCAAUUCUUUAAUACUACUCUCAACAAGAGGUGGAAUCUGUGUCUCUUCCUUUGGAACAUGAGUGGACCUUUGUGAUUAAAUGCAGCAGAAGGAUGCUGUGUGAACUCUGAGACAGGGUAAUAAGGGGUGAUACAGCUGCCACCUAGUUCUUUCUCAGAACAUGUGCCUUUGGAGCCCUGAGCUGCCAUGGAAGAAAACCACCUACCCUGAAGCCACAACACUGGAAAGACCAUGUGGAAGAACCACAGAGAGAGAGAAGAGGACCAAAUGUGUGAGCCUUCCCAGCCCAGGCUCCAAAUAUGCAAGUAAGCACCAGAUCCCCUUGACUGCUUUCCAGGGUAAGGAUGCAAGACCACUGAGAACUGUGCCGCGCUGGUAAGAAGAGGUGCUGAUGGCAUGCUGUUGCCUCUGCCAGACAGACUCUGUCUUUGCUGAAGUGUUUAGUAUUGCUAUUGUGGCAAAUGCCAUUUUAGUCAAAGGCAAUAAAUCUUCCUUUGUUUAAAUGACAGAUGGCUAGGAUUGUUACUUCUGUUUCUAGCAAACCCAGAAAGGGAAAAAAUAAAUUACUGACAUUCAGAGUUCUUGUUUUUUAAGAAUAUUAGGGGGAAAAUGAAAAUAGUAUAGUUUCAGCAAAGUUAUAUAGUUUUUGCAGUCAACAGAAUAAUGGGCCCCCUAAUGAUGUUCACGUCCUAACCCCUAGAAUCUAUGAAUAUGUUAGGUUACAGGGCAAAGGGGAAUUAAGAGUGCAGGUGGAAUUAAGAUUAAUUAGCUGACCUUAAGAUAGGGAAUGUAGCAUAAUUUAUCCAGGUGAGCCCAAUAUAAUCACAAUGGAAGACAGAGACAGAAGAAUCAGAGUCAGAGAAGACGUGGCUACAGAGGAGAGAGUGAUGAGAUGUGAGGAUUCUGCCUGCCAUUGCUGGCUUUCAAGAUGAAGGAAGGGGGCCAUGAACCAAGGGGAUGCCUCUAGAAGCUGGAAAAGGUAAGGAAACAGAUUCUCACCUAGACUUCCAGAAAGCUCUGCUGUUGCCUUGAUUUUAGCCUAGUGAGACCCAUUUCAGACUUCCGACCUCCAGUACGUGAAGAUAAUACAUUUGUGUUGUUUUAACCUAUUAAGUUCUAAAAUGGUGAACCCAAUUUCAUUUCUUCUCUCCCUUUACAAGGUAGGUGCUAUUAACAGUGAAAUGACAAUGCAAAAGCAAAGCAGAGGAAAGCACCAGCAAAGGACAUGCCUCGCUGACUGCAGAUUACAGUGUCCUCUACUCAAUUCCUAUCUUAAUAUGUAUCACAUGCCCUGCCUGAGAUAAUGAGGACUCUCCCAUUCCCUCAGUCUUCAGGUUGCCUCUACUUCUCUUCCAUUUUCUUUUUCCUUGAUAUGAUCCUCUUCUUUCUCAUUCUUCUCUUCUUUCAUUUCCUGAGUUGUUUUCUCUCCACUUCUUCCCCCUCUACUCUGAUAGGAAAUAUUAUAGCAGUAGCCCAAGCUAGAAGAAAAAGGACACACCUACCAGCUCCCUCCCUCCCUCACAACACCUACACGGCUGCUGGGGAAGCCUUGAAUGAAAGCUAGAAAAGAACAAAUAGGAAAAGAGGCAUUUGAAAACAGAACAGAAAUAGUCACAGACGGGUGACAGGCAGGAGAUGCCACCUCAUUGACAGCUGCCACCAUUUUCCAUAGAGAAGUUAUUCCAUUGUAGUAUACACCAGGGCUGGGUUUAAAUAUUUUUCCUAUGUACUUGGUAGUAUAGUGGAAGCUCCUCCAUUUCUCUAAAUAGUUAACUGCAUACUUAGAGCUCUUGGUAGCGUUUAGAACACGGAGUUAAUUAUUCUGAGUGUACCUAGCCCCAUCACUGUCUGUAAUCUGUACAAAAUUUGAUAAGCCCUUUUAAGGUAGUUAGAUAUUUAUUGAGACUCUGCUGUAUAUUUGGCAGUGCCCCAGAUAUAGGUAGUGGUGGUGACAGCAAGCAAUAGGACCAGUGGAGCCUGCUUUUUAAUAGAGAGUGAUCUCUCUGGUAUUGUUGUAAGUACAGCAUAUAAGCAACUUGAGGUGUUGUCUUAAAGAUGUGAGCUCACCUAAUUUACACAAGAGCAUCAAAGCCAGAAUUCCUCCCCUUGCUGAUGUUAGCCUGUAACUCUGUGCCUCUCAAGUGUAUAACUUCUUCUGUGGGAAUCAUGCUUCUGAAGCAUGAGGAAAGAACACACCCGUGUUUCCACUUUCUCUGCUGCUUUGCAUGUGAUCCCUCCAGGUAUGCAAAAUAAUGCCUCAAUAUCAUUUUGACCUGUGUUGUCAUUUUACAUAUUUUAUCAGAAGACUUCAUAUCGGAUGGAAGCAAAUCUUUAGAAGGGUUGUUAUAACAACUUGAACAGCCCAUCAUGCUCUAGGCAUGCUCCCUAUCACGGCUAUGUUUUCAUUCAUUAGAGAUGGAGGAGGAGGCGGCUUAAAAUGUGUAAUUCUAAUCACCUAUUCCUACAGCUCUCUAACUGGUCUCCGUGGCUUCUCUUGCCUUCCUCCAGUCUUGCCCGUGAACCUUGAUUAGAGGACAACACAACACUAACAGCCACUCCUCCCUCUCCCUCCUGACUCCUUAUUUGAGUUAGAGGCUCUCGUAACACCUGCGUCUUCCCCUUUGUCAGCAGUCAUCACAACGAAUUGUGAUUGCCUAUUUACUCAUCUGCAUCUCCCACUGAAUUCUGAUCCAUGGUGGCUGGCCCAUGCCUGUCUUGUGUACAUUUGCAUGUAAACCACUUAACCCAAGUGCCAGGAAGCAAACAGUACACGCAGGUGUGUGGAGUGAUUGAAAGCUAAUUUGCUACCUAAGAAUGUACAGUGAUUCCUCAGUGUUUAUUAGAUCAGGCCCAGACUCUUCAUUUCAGUUUUCAACUCCUCUGAUUUUUCUUUUAUACAAGCUUUCAGAUCUCCUCUUGGUUCUCAUCUAGCUCUUGCAUCUUUAUGCCGUGGGUUGAUUCCUCUGCCUGCCUAUCUGUAGUAGCUUGUCUCCUAGGAUGGCUGCCAUCAAUUUCUUCUCUUCUGUAUACACAUGCCACUCCCGCAUUGAGAGAUGGAGUCUUCUUUCCCCCUGGAAUCUGGUCUGGCCUGUGACUAAUUUCAAUAAUAGAAUCUUGCAUUUCUAUUGAAACUACCAAAAAAAAAAAAUUGUGUCAGCUACUACAGCUACUAAGUUUUGGGAUGGUUUGUUAUAUGGCAAUAGAUAUCCUCAAUACCAUUCUUCAAAGUCCCAAACCUACAUUUUCUGUGAAGCCUUACCUUGCUAGUCUAGUUAACACUGAUCUCCUCCUUCUCUGAAGUUCUGUGGGAAUAGAACUUUGUUGAUGCCACACAUUUUGUUAUCCAACUGUAUGUAUUAUUACUUUUCCUUUCCUGAAUGCCAGUAUGAACUCCAUGACCAAAUUAUAUGGUCUUUGAAGAUACCAAAUAGUGGAAAUAGGUCUUUUGUAAUCCCUUCAACAAGUCCUAGUACUGAAUAAAAAUGUAAUGGCUGUUGAAUUGGAUUAAAAGUAAAAAUAUUCUUGGCCAUUUUAGCUCUCUGCCAAUUAUUUUGACUUUUCUUCACAGUAUCUUUGAGCGCAUUCUUUCAUAUCAUGAUUAUAAAAAGCAUGUGUGGCAGCAGGCAGCCCUUAGGAUCCUUCCCCCUGCAGACAGUCUGUGACAGUGCAGUGGUUCUCAAAACGUGGACCAGGAGCAGCAGCACCAGCACCUGGGAACCUGUUAGAAAUGCAAAUGCUUGGGCCUACCCCAAAUCUACUGAAAGAGAAGUCCUGGGGGUGGAGCCCAGCAUUCUGUUUCACCAAGCUUUCCAGAUAAUUCUGAUGCAUAUUAAAGGAUGAGAAUCAUUCUAGUGGUGGAAAGAGUCCUGGUUUAAGGUUAGAAGGUCUAGGAGUUUUUGGUCCUAACACAUUUUGGUCCUGAUGCUUAUGUAUCAAUGAGAAAGUUACUUAACUUCCCUGAGCCUCUCCUUCCUCAUCUGUGUUACGAUAAUCCUAACCCUGAGAUGGGAGAGUGUCUUAGUUCAUUUUUUUUGCUAUGAAGGAAUACCUCAGACUGGGUAACUUAUAAAGAAAAGAGGUUUGUUUUGACUCAUGGUUCUGCAAACUAUACAAGAAGGAUACUGCUGGCAUCUGCUUCUGCAAAGGCAUCAAGAAGUCUACGAUCACAGCGUAAGGCAAAGAGGGAGCAGGUAUGUUACACAGCAGGAGAGGGAGCAAAAAAAAAAUGGACAGGUUCUUUUUUUUUCUUUCUUUUUUUUUUUUUUCUUUUUGCCAGACGGAGUCUCGCUCUGUUGCCCAGGUUGGAGUGCAGUGGUGCAAUCUUGGCUCACUGCAAGCUCCACCUCCCGGGUUCACUCCAUUCUCCUGCCUCAGCCUCCCAAGUAGCUGGGACUACAGGUGCCCGCCACCACGGCCGGCUAGUUUUUUGUAUUUUUAGUAGAGACAGGGUUUCACCAUGUUAGCCAGGAUGGUCUUGAUCUCCUGACCUCGUGAUCUGCCCGCCUCGGCCUCCCAAAGUGCUGGGAUUACAGGCGUGAGCCACUGCGGCCGGCCAAAAACAGACAGGUUCUUAAACAACCAGCUCUCACAUGAACUAAUACAGUGAGAACUCACUUAUUACUGUGGGGAAGGCACCAAGGCAUUCAUGAGGGAUCCACCCUCAUGACCAAAACACUUCCCCCCACCUCCAACAUGGGGGGUCAUAUUUCAACAUGAGAUUUGGAGGUGACAAACAUCCAAACUAUGUCAGAGAGUCAAGUGAAAUCUCUUUUUUUUUUUUUUUUUUUUUUUUGAGAUGGAGUCUCACUCUGUCACCCAGGCUGGAGUGCAGUGGCGGGAUCGCGGCUUAUUGCAAGCUCCGCCUCCCGGGUUCACGCCAUUCUCCUGCCUCAGCCACCUGAGUAGCUGGGACUACAGGCGCCCGUCACCAUGCCCGGCUAAUUUUUUUGUAUUUUUAGUAGAGACGGGGUUUCUCCGUGUUAACCAGGAUGGUCUCAAUCUCCU